Molecule: long non-coding RNA, 1140 nt
Filed under: Capra hircus (goat)
Lineage: Eukaryota; Metazoa; Chordata; Mammalia; Artiodactyla; Bovidae
Description: lncRNA (ENSCHIG00010007943.1)
Source: RNAcentral
AUAGGGCUUCGCUGGUGGCUCAGGGGUAAAGAAUCCGCCUGCCAAUGCAGAAGAUAGGGGUUUGGUCCCUGGUCCAGGAAGAUCUCACGUGACACGGAGCAGUUAAGCCCGAGUUCUAGAGCCCACAGCUACUGAGCCUGUGAUGUGGAGCCAAAGAGCGGCAACGACUGAGCCCACGCGCCGCAGCUGCUGAAGCCUGCGUGCCAGGGCACAGUGCUCGGAGCCAUGCAGUCAGCGGCCCCCGCACCACGGCUGGAGAAGAGCCUGUGCCGCAGCCGAGACCCGCACAGCCAAAAUAGAGAAGGUCAUAUCCAGCUCUACCACCCCAUGGAUGGUAACCCGCAGACUCCUCGGUCCUGAGGAUAUAGUGAAGAGCAAACAAACAGGGGACCUGUUUUCAAUUGAGCCUAAAUUCUUGCAACAGAAACCAAAGAUAAAGUUUGAAAGUAGAGACUUGUGCAUAGAAAACUGUUAGCUAUCAGAAAAGUCAAAAGAAUAGUAUGGUGACCACUUACAUACCACCUACCUAGAUUCAGAUUAAUCUAAAGCAUUAUUUUUGUCCUGUCCUCCCCUAAGGCACUAAAGUCCAAUGACUCUUCUAAUAUUUCGGUACAGUUCAGUCUUCCUCAACGUUUGCUUUAGGAGCUGACCAUCACUUGAGCACUACCAUGUGGCAGGCCAGGCCUAAUUUUGACAACCGUAAGACCAGCCUUCUUGAAAGCUCCAGGAAUGAUCUUAAUAUAUGGAAUGUGUUUCCUGUCAGAGAAAUGUUGGACAAAUUUUCUAUGGAGGGUUGUGGGAUCUACUGUAAACUUUUGAAGGAAAGACUUCUCUCCUUUUGGUACAUAUCUAAAGUUCUAGCAGUUCAGCCUGACUCAGUGACACACUGCAAUCAGUGGGCCUGGAGUUUCACACUUUGACAUCCCUCCCACGGACUAGAAUGUGCCUGCACAAUAAGAAAAGAACUUGCCAAGAUGCAAUAUCCAUUGACCUGUGCCAGGCAAUGCCUAGUGUUAUGGUCGACCAGAGGUUACCCAAUGGCAUUCAGGUAAUUCUAACAGCUACUAAAAUAGGUUUGUUCACCAGAAAAUUUCAAACAGGCCCUUUAAAAUAUGAUAAGAUAAUGUGGGUUGUCAUAUC